RNAcentral lists this ribosomal RNA (497 nucleotides) under uncultured bacterium. Its description in RNAcentral is "partial 16S ribosomal RNA". It matches the Rfam family "Bacterial small subunit ribosomal RNA", at positions 28 to 507 of the family's 1533-position model. The record is from RNAcentral.
GAUGAACGCUGGCGGCGUGCCUAAUACAUGCAAGUCGAGCGAACGGACGAGAAGCUUGCUUUUCUGAUGUUAGCGGCGGACGGGUGAGUAACACGUGGAUAACCUACCUAUAAGACUGGGAUAACUUCGGGAAACCGGAGCUAAUACCGGAUAAUAUUUUGAACCGCAUGGUUCAAAAGUGAAAGACGGUCUUGCUGUCACUUAUAGAUGGAUCCGCGCUGCAUUAGCUAGUUGGUAAGGUAACGGCUUACCAAGGCAACGAUGCAUAGCCGACCUGAGAGGGUGAUCGGCCACACUGGAACGGAUACACGGUCCAGACUCCUACGGGAGGCAGCAGUAGGGAAUCUUCCGCAAUGGGCGAAAGCCUGACGGAGCAACGCCGCGUGAGUGAUGAAGGUCUUCGGAUCGUAAAACUCUGUUAUUAGGGAAGAACAUAUGUGUAAGUAACUGUGCACAUCUUGACGGUACCUAAUCAGAAAGCCACGGCUAACUACGUG